This 253-nucleotide ribosomal RNA is filed under the name uncultured bacterium. RNAcentral's name for it is "partial 16S ribosomal RNA". It matches the Rfam family "Bacterial small subunit ribosomal RNA", at positions 524 to 776 of the family's 1533-position model. The record is from RNAcentral.
UACAGAGGGUGCGAGCGUUGUCCGGAAUCACUGGGCGUAAAGGGCGCGUAGGUGGCGACCCAGGUCGAUGGUGAAAGCUCGCCGCUCAACGGCGAGUCGGCCACCGAUACUGGGUUGCUCGAGCACUGUAGAGGCUCAUGGAAUUCCGGGUGUAGCGGUGGAAUGCGUAGAGAUCCGGAAGAACACCGGUGGCGAAGGCGGUGAGCUGGGCAGUUGCUGACACUGAGGCGCGACAGCGUGGGGAGCAAACAGG